UGUUUCGGCUAGGGGGCCAUCCCGGCUUACCAACCCGAUGCAAACUGCGAAUACCGGAGAAUGUUAUCACGGGAGACACACGGCGGGUGCUAACGUCCGUCGUGAAGAGGGAAACAACCCAGACCGCCAGCUAAGGUCCCAAAGUCAUGGUUAAGUGGGAAACGAUGUGGGAAGGCCCAGACAGCCAGGAUGUUGGCUUAGAAGCAGCCAUCAUUUAAAGAAAGCGUAAUAGCUCACUGGUCGAGUCGGCCUGCGCGGAAGAUGUAACGGGGCUAAACCAUGCACCGAAGCUGCGGCAGCGACGCUUAUGCGUUGUUGGGUAGGGGAGCGUUCUGUAAGCCUGUGAAGGUGGCCUGUGAGGGUUGCUGGAGGUAUCAGAAGUGCGAAUGCUGACAUAAGUAACGAUAAAGCGGGUGAAAAGCCCGCUCGCCGGAAGACCAAGGGUUCCUGUCCAACGUUAAUCGGGGCAGGGUGAGUCGACCCCUAAGGCGAGGCCGAAAGGCGUAGUCGAUGGGAAACGGGUUAAUAUUCCCGUACUUGGUGUUACUGCGAAGGGGGGACGGAGAAGGCUAUGUUGGCCGGGCGACGGUU
RNAcentral lists this ribosomal RNA (591 nucleotides) under Salmonella enterica. RNAcentral describes it as "partial 23S ribosomal RNA". It matches the Rfam family "Bacterial large subunit ribosomal RNA", at positions 911 to 1503 of the family's 2925-position model. The record is from RNAcentral. RNAcentral also lists the same sequence under 3 other names. Lineage: Bacteria; Pseudomonadati; Pseudomonadota; Gammaproteobacteria; Enterobacterales; Enterobacteriaceae.